CCGACCCCAUGUGGCAGGUGGCGUUGCCGUAUUACCGCCGCUGGGCCUGCUCGCUAGUAAUUCAUAGUUUCAUGCUUUCCACUGCUUAAAGACUUAAUGGAAGUUGCGCACGCAUACGUUCCAAGUUGUGCGCGCAUCACCAUCGUUAUCUGUUACGCGUCUGUAGAAAAACAACCGUGCUCCCGUCCGUGAAAGAUAUAGAAAGUGUUAUAACGUUUGCAUGCUGACCAGGCCUUGCAACUCGUCGAGAUAAUCUAUUCCCGGCCGUGCACGAGGCUUGUUUUCAGGGACACGUGCCUGCUAAACGCCGCUAUAACCUCUCUAGGAGUUUCAGUCGAAUGGAAGAAGGAACAAGCGAUGAUUUAUGAAGUUUGCUCGACGCUUUGGAAACAGGGUAGAAAAAGGUGCUAUAUAAAUAGACGACUUCGAGGGAUUCAAAUAUUAUUUACCUGUUAGAACAACGUUGGAAAUGGAAGAUAAUUAUAAGCACACGGUGAUGUGCGUAAUUUGAGUACCAUGAAGAUACUUAUGUCAAGUGAUGUGUUAAUGCGUUGAGCACAUUUACUGGGAAUUUUAAUUCUAAUGUCUUUUACAAAAGUCAUUUCAUUGUAAUUCUUAUAAAUUAAUGCCCAGUUAUCAAAAACCCAUUGUUUAAACAAUUAUAUGCAACGUUUGACAUAUUAAUGACAAUAAUUGUCUAAUAGCUACAUCUGAUAACACUGAAUAAAGCGUUAUCGUGUAGUCAUUUAAAUUAUGAAUAGCUGAAUAUUCUACGCAGUAACGUUGCCGCUAGUGUCGAGAUACGAAACAGAUAACGUUAAAACUAUAAUAAUGUUUACGUGGAUUCAUAGACCUGGCGCGGAGCCCGCGCAAGACGGCAAAUAGCAAGGCACAAAGAUCCGUUCGUCCGCAAUGCGAUAUAAGACCAUGGGUUGGGUUAGAUAGAGGAUGCAUUUGAAGCUACCAUUAAGCCCGUGAUUGAUAAUGCCCGCAGACCCGUUCUGCACCAUCGCGUCCGUUCGAUCAAGGUCUCCCUGAGUAUACCGAUCGCGUAAAAAACAAAAAGCGCGUGGCGGCUGUGGCGCGCAACAACGCAAAAUCACUGCAAAAAGCGAAAGAAGUGACAUCGAGUGCACUGUCACCGACAUUCCUCUUACAGCUCUAUAUCUGCCUUCUCUCCGGCAAGAAACGAUGAUUAACAACGAAAUUUCACGAUACAUGCAUAGUUUUAAGUUGGAAAAAAUUAGCAACUGAAUGUAAUUGAAUAUUCAUUGAAAUUCAUGGAAUGUUGGUAUUAAAUUGAAAAAAAUUCAUGAAUGGGAAUUUCGUUAUUCUUACAAUUAAGUAUGAAAGAGGCGUAAAAUAGUUUACUUUGCUAAGUACGUACUUAGAGAUAAAGAGCAGAAUGUAUGGCGUGUCAACGCAUAAAAGAGAUAAAAAUAGCAUCGUUGAAGCAGUAUUCUUUUCAUCGAUGACGACGAUGACGAUGCAGCUGUUAACUAGCAAAAUGCCAUUAUUUACCCAACCUUGACGAUGAAAAGAGGGUAGGCAACUAUAGCUCGGACUAAAAUCUAGAAAACACGAGCGACAAAAAAUGGCUUGUGGUGAAACGACAGUGACGGAGCAUGUGCUCUAUGAGAAUCAUCUUUCGUCGGCGAAGAUCAGAGCGUCCAACCUUGCUUGGGAAAAACGCUAAACGAGGUAUUUGCACGAUGAGUCGACGAAUCUUAUACACGAUGCACCCUUUGUUUUGCUUCGAAAAAUCUAUGAACGUGACGAGCCGUGUCAGAGGAAAAAAUCGGCUGAAGUGUUCACAUACUUAUGAACGGUAGCGUAUGUCUGUCUUACUAACAUUACCAGCCUUAGUAACAUUAUAAAUAUUCCCUAUUUUGUGAUAGAAAGGUGAUUCCUUAAAAUUUAAUAUUUCACGCACAAUUAUCCACAUCAAGAAGAUUAUAAAGCUAAAGGGAUAGAGACUGGUUGAAGAAGUUCGUUGCAUGGAUUUCUCCGUAACGGGGAAACGUAGCUUCCCCAAGAAUAAGCCAUCAGAAAUUGCGCGAAAAGCAUUAUGACCGGUGCCAAGUUUCGUGUGGCACGCGAGAGAUUACUUUCUAGAGCUCUCCGGCAUACCUUCCAGUUGGAAGGUUUCCUCUAGCUCUAGGAAACGUCCGGAUAUGAUAAUAAGCGAUGCUCGCGCCAACGUUCUACGUUGAGCACGAUUCGAACCCUCGGGGCUACGUACUGGGUUCGCAUCAACAGCUCUCGGAGAACCAAUCCUCUUCCCUGAAGUCGCUGUCACGACCACCUGGAACGUCUCUGUUCCGUGGAUGGUCUUUUAAAUCCCUAGCAUCUUUCCAACAGUCACGCCUCCUCAGUUUGUUUCGCGUGCUUUCCAACAACAUUCACAGUGUUCCCAUGUUCUCCAUAAAACAGCUAUUUCUCACAAAGAAACUUCGACUCUGGUGGAAUAUCAAUGACAAAUUCAUAUGAAGAUGGUAAAAUUGGCUUUUAAUGGUGACCAGUGAUUGCCACAUCUGCAGAUUUCCUUUUGUAAAAGCUAUAAUUGUUGUAACGUCCUCCUUAGUUGAACUACUCAUCUAGCGUAUUCUCAUCUUUUAAGAAAUGUUAAAUAUAUAUAUAGGGUAUAACUGUUUGCUAGAAAUUUGAAAUUUUCUUAGAUCUGUGAUAAAUAAGAUUAGCAUUAUUCUAAACUACGCUGGAAUAGAACUAGAGAACUCCAGUUUCUCCUAAAAAGACAUACAUUUUUUCGCAUCGAGCAAUAUUUCUAAGUGUAAAUAGUAGACUUACAAUACGCUUGUAGCGAUACACGUGAUACACGCGAGAGCCCAAGAGAUCCGCUUGUCCACAUAAUUAAGUAAAAACUACGACGCGAAGGUAGGUCGCAAACGCGUCUUCACGUAGUAAACUCUUCAAUUGCGCAAAUAUCUCGGAGCCUCGAUGGAAGAAAUUAGCAUAAUGCCGGGAAGCAUUAGGCUCGUGAGCGCAAAUUGUGCGGCGGGCAUCGGCUCAAAGAAAUACACAAGGGAAUAAGGAGGAAGAGACAGGCUUAUGUAGAGGGUGGAACAUGGAGCAAGGAGAAGAAACUAAAGAAAAACAAGAAAAAAAAAAAUAACAAGAAAAAUCAGGAGCACGUCGUUUAUUUUUAUAUGCAUGAAAAGUCAUCAGUAGUUGGCUGGUUGAAACAUGAAUAGGAUCUGUCCACCGGAGAAUGACUUGAGCAAACUGUCGCUAAUCGUUACUGCCUGUGUGCGAAACGCGUCGUUUUUGCUUCUGAUUCGCGUCUUGUUACCACGUUCAGGUAAUUUACCACAGAAGCUCAUAUCAGGCGCCUUCGUGGGUUCCAUGGAAGAAAUCCAAGGAGUUGUACUAUCCAUGUAAUCGUAUUUAUGGCAAUACGUGAUUACAUUUCUUUUAACCGGAGGCAAGAAAGAUAAAGGAUAUGCCUCCGUCAUUUUUUCUUUUUUGUAGCGUUGGGAUGCGCUAUCUUAUUAGCACUGUAAAGAAGGCGUGUAACCAGCGAAACAAAAAAGGAUCGAUAAAAGCGAUCUUCGUUUUGUUCUUUUUAAACUGGAAUGCAUAUAUCAUUUGUACAUCCUGUUUAAAUAACAAAGGGAAAGGAAUAUUUGCUCGUAAUCGGUAAAAAUUACCUUCACCUUCUUCUUUUUAAACCUGAAUGCGUAUAUCAUUUGUACAUCCUGUUUCAAUAACAAAGGGAAAGGAAAAUUUACUCGUAAUCGGUAAAAAUUAUCUUCAAUUUCUUUUUUAUAAAUUGUAAUACAUACACAUAUCAUUUUUGUAUCCUGUUUAAAUGACAAAGGAGAAAGGAAAAUUUGCUCCUUUUCUCUGCUACCAUAUUGGUACUAUUCCACCAGAGAACAUAGCGAGAAUAAUUCCACUCAUCUUAAUAAUGAUACUUGAUCGACGAUAUGACGUUAGAAUCGAAAGAGAGUUCUCUAGCUCACCGUGAAAACCGAGAGCUCGUUACGCGAUGACGACACAUCGGAGAUCCAUCGAAAGUCCAUCCCGUCUGAACGUGAAAGUGUUGCAAGAAAAGCAGGUUAUUACAGGUAGUUACAGGUGGUUACAGGUAGUUGAAGUACCGCCAGCUCUCCUUCGCACUUCCUAAAGGCCGUUCCCCGGCCUACGAGAACGAUCUCGACCGCACACUCGUGUGCUCCUUCCUUUCCCGUGACGCAAUAUAUCGUGUCUUUCAAAGCAAUUCCUGUGGUUCGAGACACCAAUAUGGACACGCGCGUAUACACACAGAGAAAGAGAAAGAAAGAGAGGAGGAGACAGGUAUACGUUUUCGUGCGGUGUAACUGACCUGUCUCGAAGAAACAUAAGUUGCGCCGCGCGGCGACCGCAGACCUGUCCAUUUCGUUCUUUUCCCUUUCUUUUCUCGUUUCGUUGCCCUUUGCAAUCGGAAUGCCAAGCCGGCCAGCUGCAACGAAAGUAAAUGCGCCGGGGAAGACAUUGAAUUAGCGCGAUAUAUCGUGCACGGUUUAUCUCCUCCCGUGGCUUUCCUGACCGCCGGACAAAUUCUUUGAUAGACUGUGCGCCAGCCGUCUACGCGAUUAAAAUUACCACAUUCGCCAGCUUUACGACUGCGCGUAAUUAAAAACUUACAUUUUCAUGGCUUUCCAACGUCUAUCUACGGUCUUUCUUCGUAGAUCAUUUGAUUGAUGACAUACGUUUCGGGGAAUGAGGUUAUAUCUAGUGACUUUUACAGUGUAGAAUUACAUAUAGGGAUAUUAGUUGUUUUAUAGGUGCAGCCAAGUCACUUAGCAUUUAUGGUAGAACAUGUUUUAAUUAAAGAGAUACCCUGUGUUAAGAGAAACAUAAAAGUUUUCUUACGUUAUAAUAUAAUUUAUUACGAAUCAACUACUUGUUAAGAAUUAUUAUAACAUACCUUUAAUCUUCUUCUUUCUAAUCGUUCUUUUCCUUUUUUCUUUUUUCACGUGGUGCUCGUGAUAUCUGUUCACUUCCCAUUUCAAGGUUUACGUUCUUACAAAACCUACUUAUCAAUACGAGCGAAUUAUUCGCAAAAAUCCACAAACUAAUUAACCUCUAAACCAUUACUAAACAAUAUUGCGCAAUCAGAAUAUAAGUUAGAUUCUGCCUCCCUUAAUUCCGCCAUCCAUAUACAGCGCAUUCAUCAAUUAUCUUCCCGAAAAGCCGGCAACUUCCGGAAGUUCGUGCAAACUCCGAGCAAUAUUCAACCUCCAACCUUUCUAGCGGUUCAUUACCUCCUCGAUAUUCUUGGAAUUAAUCACGCCGCGGCCUCGUUAAUCAUACGCCGAUGAUAACGCCGGGAAGAAAAGUGUUCCGAAGGAAACGAGCGGCGUAACCUGUCCCCUUCUCGUCCAGAAACACUUUCUCCCACAAUGAAAAGAAGCGAGACGUAAAUCCUGCCGGUAUCCUCGACUGUCGAUCUCUCGCGCGUGCAAAACGAGCAAGCGUAACACGAUACCUCAGCGUGCGAAAUAAUCACAACAGUUAACAGACUGGAGUACUCUCUCUGUAAUUUUCGUGACUCAGUCUCGCCCCGAAUCUUUUAUAAUUAUGAUACACAAUUUAUAUUCUUAUGAAUACAGCUAAAAAAGAUGGUUUCUAUGUCAGUAGGUUUACGAGCCACGUCAUUUUUUUUUCAUUUUCACGAGGAAAAGUACACGAACCGUUUACAUUUCUCUUCUAACAUUUGUACUGAUUUUUAUCUAUUUAACAAGACGAAUAUACAGGGUGGUUGGUAACUGGUGGUACAAGCGGAAAGGGGGUGAUUCUACGCGAAAAAAGAAGUCGAAAAUAUAGAAUAAAAAUUUUUCGUUUGAGGCUUUGUUUUCGAGAAAAUCGACUUUGAAUUUUCGCUCGGUACGCGUGCACUUUAUCACGUCUGGGCUGGCAUAAUCGGACAUCUAAUUAUUGGGCCAUAUUUUUUCGAAGAAAAUGUAACGUCAGCAGCAUAUUUCGAUUUCUUAUAAAACAAACUACCGGAAUUAUUAGAAGAUGUACCGCUGAGAACUAGAGGAAAUUCAUUUUCUUCGAAAUUUUCUAGUUUUGAAGUUUUCUAUGUGGUAUACCUGUCUCUACGGAUACGCGUCAAUUUGACGCAAUCGUAAAGUAAGUAUUGCCGCAGUAAUAGAUAUAAACGCGAUAAAAGAGUUAGUUCCUGAAAAAAGUAAACAUAAACAAUGCAGUGACGAUACUUCGAACUCGAUUUCUCCUACGUCCUACGUAUUUACGUUGGAAAAUCCUUAUGCAGAAAAUCCUUUAGAAGAAAAAAGAAAACUCGAUGUAUGAAUUACAGUCGUAGUAUGAAGACGUUUUUUAAGUUUCGGUUAUUAUUAGUCCGUGCACUCAAGAAGAAAAUAAUAGUGCAUUUUGAGUAUCAGUAAUAUUAUUGUGAAGUUGUAAAUUAUUGUGAAUUUAUUAUUGCAAAAUUCAGCUUUUCACUGUUUUGACAAAUAGCCCUUGUCAUUUAUGCGUUCGAAUAUGUCUAGAAGAGAAGAUAACAUAUUGCAAAAAUAGUCGAUGUAAGUGAGGAGUGCUCUAGCACAAGGUACGAAGAGAAUGAAAAUAAGUCAUUUCAAAACAAGGAUGAAUUUGAGAUUCUCGAAUCAGAUGAAAGCGAAAAACAGAGGAAUCGUCGGAUAGCGAAGAGGAAGAUUUCCGGAAUUUUUGUCAUAGCAGGAAAAGGAUGCGAAUCUGAGUCCAAGAAUGACACAAACAUUCCCAGAUCGUCCGAAAAUUUGAAUGCAGUUCGUGAUACAGAAAUUGCGGUCGAUGGAACAACUUGGAAGAAAUUGGAAAUGGACGGUUCUAGUGUUAGACGAUCUACCCACCCAAUAUUUAUUAAUUAAUUAAAUAUUUAUUAAUUAAUUCGCUAGUCUUACUGAUUGCACAAGAAGGAAUGUGGUGACAGGUAGUGUAAACAGUGUCUUCUACUUGAUAAUCAACGGAAACAUGUUGGAACAUAUAAAAUCUUGUACCGAAGCAGAGGUAUGUCGCGUUUUAAGAAAUGAUUGGACAAUUUCAAUUACCGAGUUACUUGCUUUUAUUGCAAUUUUGUAUGCUCGGGGAGCAUAUGAAACAAAAUCACUAAAAGCUUGUUAUUUAUGGUCCAAGAAAUGUGGACCUGCUUUCUUCUCGAUCACAAUGCUUAAAGAUCAAUUUAUGCAAAUUCUUCGAUUCAUACGACUCGAUAAUAGAACAGAAGGAUCCGAACGUUUACGUACAGACAAAAUUGAGUAUACGUGUAAAAGAUGCGCGGAAUAAAUGUAAUGUUAUACAAUGCUGAAUAUUAUAAAUUUUAUAUAAAUAUAUACCUCAUAAUUUCAUUCAUAAGUUUUAUUUAUGUUGUUUUUAAGUCCUCUUACUUUGAAUGUUUUACAUUUAUUUAUCACAAAUGCAUAUAAUCCGCAGUCACUUUAUAGUCAAUGAUAUCUCCUCGUAACGCUAUGUACGACUAUUUCCUAAAACUAUGAGUAGUUAUCAUUACGAAAUCAUUAUAGCAGAUGGUUUAAAACUUUUACAUAGUACGUAGUAUAUAUUAUACAUAGGUCGACCUAGCCUAUUCUCAAUAUAAUUUCACUUGAAUAUUAAAAAUAUUUCACUUAUUGAUCCCGAACCAACCAAACCUCUAUUCCAUUACUAUGACUGGACUACGUAUAUUGAUACAAAUCCGUAUUUCUCUGAAUAUAAUUAAAAAUAUGGAACUCUCACUUUGUACGUUUUUGCACCCGCGAAUGUCGCAUUAACAAAAAAGCUCGCAGUGCCAAAUCUAGCCAAAUCGAUGACAAAUAGGCUUUGCAAGAACAUAGACUUUGAAAUGGAAAGUGACUUUAUCUGAUAGUAAAAUAAUAAUUUCCAAAACGCAAGACCAGUUACCCUUCGACAUUUACAAACACAAUGCUCAAGAUCUGUGAAAUAAAUGUGAAAUGGCUAAAAAUCGGCCCGGUAUCCCUGUAGUCGGUAAAUCUGAAUCUCAUUGAACGAUCGUUACUGAACGAUUGCGCGGGACGGAGAGGGAUAAUUAUGGAAGCAUGAAUAUUUAUGGAAACUCGUGCACCGUGUAAUCUUUAUGAGACACAACGGCCGCAGGACGUCGUCGGUGAUGGCUCGGCACGGUUUACUUUGUCGGCAUGCACUCGCCGAACUCAAUUACCCGGGCUUGAAGGGAUAGAAACGUAGGAGGUGAGGCAUGGGGGGUUAAGGAGGAGGAGAGAUGUCCAGGUGGAACUACGCGGUCGAAGAAGCGAUCGAUCGUACGGUUAAGUGGCUACCACGGGGCCCUGCGUUAUCUACCCGCUGACAAAAGGACGCGCGAUCUACACACAGUUGGGGAAAUACGAUCUACCUGCUGGUUGAACGGAGGCGCGUGGCUUUUUACGAUAAUUAACGUGAACCGAGGUUGCCAAGGAUCGCGCAGGAGAUGCCGUCGUUCGUACUGCUGGGCCGCUGGAACGUGGCUGUUGAAUGAAAAUUGAGAUAUCAGUGUGCACCAGUGUUAAUGUGCACGCGGCUUUUUCUUUCGUCAAAGUGAAGUGGAAUGCGGAUUAUUUUUUCUUUUUUUCUUUUUUAGGCAGAUAAAUGGGUAUUUGUGAUCGGAUUACUAGGAUUGGUAGUACGAAGGUCAAUAAGAGGUUGAAUAUUCAUGGGAUUAAUUGGUUGUAUAUUGUACGUUUUGAUUUGCUAUUAGCAAUUUUUUUGUGUAUCGAAUAAAUUUUGAGAUGUGCCAUCGGAAUUUAGGUAUAUGCAAAAAGGAGAUAAAAUGAAAAAAAUAUAGUUUUGCUAUACUAUGUUCUCUUUUCUAUUCCAUACAUUUAUCAUUUGCACAGAAUAAAUGUGACUUUCGGAACAAUAACUUUCAAAUUUGCAAAAUGUAUAGUUUAGCCACAGAAGUAUCGAGAUCAAUUCCAAUAUUUGUCUACUACAAAGGUACACUCGAUGAAUCAACUGAAAGAAGAAGAAAAAGGAAUGUAUACACUCUGUCUGAGUGGUUCAAGUCGGCUGACGAAGUUUUUUCGCUUGUAAGACAGAACAACAUGUGACAAAAAGCAAAUAUUUAUUCUAUAGUCUUUCACCCGCAUUUCCAAAUAUUUUUGAGAGUCGCAAACAUUAAUACAUUUGCUUCUUCCUAAACAUACAAAGUCAAAACUUGACAAUAUUUUAUCUUCUUUAAACUGUUAACCGGGACGUCCUUUAAUGUUUCGUCCAUAAAAGCUUCGAUAAUUAUGAAAUUAGAAAUUAAUAAAUUUCCCAAAUACAUAUAAAUGUAAAAGGUUUGCAAUACCUAAUAAGAGUUUACUACCUAUAAAAAAAGCAGGAGAUUUUUAAAUAAAAAAAUUAUAUAUUAUUUGAAUGACGAAUUAUAUCCCCGGAAAAUUAUGGGUAAUAAAAACAGCAAAGCUAAUGAUCAUUGGAAUAGCGUUCUGUACGAACAAAGAAAUAGAAUAUCGGAAGCCAAUGACCGCGUAGUUUUCUCGCUAUUUUAAGUGGAUAGGGUAACGUAAUAUCACUUUUCCUUGGAAAUAAAGCGUUACAGGUUAUUGUAAACUGUAACGUAACCAAGCAUGCCUCUCGAUUACUUUGCUAGCCACGAUUGCGAUACUAUUGUUACGCUUGCCUAUGCGCUAAUUGGCACAGACGUUACGCGAUUCGUUUUACUAAUUAGCGGGCCGCUUGGAAUGCCGAUCGUCUACUCGCUAUCUCAUUCAAUUUACGUCAUUCAAACCUAUAGGAAUAUCACAUUCCGAUAGGAAGCAUGAAAAUUGACUUUAAAUAUAGUAACAUCGUCGUUAAUUUCACUCGUACGUUGAAAUAUAUGAAAAUAUCUAUAGCCUCAAUAUAUGUCAUAUCUAAUCCUAUCUGUUGAAGGUCACCACUUUUAAGAAAACUCUACA
This is a long non-coding RNA of Bombus pyrosoma, 9920 nucleotides long. RefSeq lists it as uncharacterized. The transcript has 3 exons. The record is from RefSeq and is a predicted model, not a curated record. NCBI's taxonomy places the organism in Eukaryota, Metazoa, Arthropoda, Insecta, Hymenoptera, Apidae.